UACGUAGGGGGCAAGCGUCGUCCGGAUUUAUUGGGCGUAAAGAGCGUGUAGGCGGCCAGGUAGGUCUGCUGUGAAAACUCGAGGCUUAACCUCGAGCUGUCGGCGGAAACCAUCUGGCUAGAGUCCGGAAGAGGAGAAUGGAAUUCCCGGUGUAGCGGUGAAAUGCGCAGAUAUCGGGAAGAACACCCGUGGCGAAGGCGGUUCUCUGGGACGGUACUGACGCUGAGACGCGAAAGCGUGGGGAGCGAACAGG
This 253-nucleotide ribosomal RNA is filed under the name uncultured bacterium. RNAcentral's name for it is "partial 16S ribosomal RNA". It matches the Rfam family "Bacterial small subunit ribosomal RNA", at positions 524 to 776 of the family's 1533-position model. The record is from RNAcentral.